CUACGGGAUGCUGCAGUGGGGAAUAUUGGACAAUGGGCGCAAGCCUGAUCCAGCAAUACCGCGUGUGUGAAGAAGGCCUGCGGGUUGUAAAGCACUUUCAAUUGUGAAGAAAAGCGAGAGGUUAAUAGCCUUUUGUCUUGACGUUAACUUUAGAAGAAGCACCGGCUAACUCUGUGCCAGCAGCCGCGGUAAUACAGAGGGUGCGAGCGUUAAUCGGAAUUACUGGGCGUAAAGCGUGCGUAGGCGGUUUAGUAAGUCAGAUGUGAAAGCCCUGGGCUCAACCUGGGAACUGCAUUUGAAACUGCUGAACUAGAGUGUGGUAGAGGGAAGUGGAAUUCCGGGUGUAGCGGUGAAAUGCGUAGAUAUCCGGAGGAACACCAGUGGCGAAGGCGACUUCCUGGACCAACACUGACGCUGAGGUACGAAAGCGUGGGUAGCAAACAGGAUUAGAUACCCGGGUAGUC
RNAcentral lists this ribosomal RNA (464 nucleotides) under uncultured bacterium. Its description in RNAcentral is "partial 16S ribosomal RNA". It matches the Rfam family "Bacterial small subunit ribosomal RNA", at positions 339 to 795 of the family's 1533-position model. The record is from RNAcentral.